RNAcentral lists this ribosomal RNA (258 nucleotides) under uncultured bacterium. RNAcentral's name for it is "partial 16S ribosomal RNA". It matches the Rfam family "Bacterial small subunit ribosomal RNA", at positions 101 to 353 of the family's 1533-position model. The record is from RNAcentral.
AACGGGUGAGUAACACGUGAGCAACCUGCCUUUCAGUGGGGGACAACAUUUGGAAACGAAUGCUAAUACCGCAUAAGCCCACGGUGCCGCAUGGCACAGAGGGAAAAGGAGCAAUCCGUUCUUUGAGAUGGCCUCGCGUCCGAUUAGCUAGUUGGUGAGGUAACGGCCCACCAAGGCAACGAUCGGUAGCCGGACUGAGAGGUUGAACGGCCACAUUGGGACUGAGACACGGCCCAGACUCCUACGGGAGGCAGCAUG